AGUGAACGCUGGCGGUAGGCCUAACACAUGCAAGUCGAACGGCAGCACAGUAAGAGCUUGCUCUUACGGGUGGCGAGUGGCGGACGGGUUAGGAAUACAUCGGAAUCUACUUUUUCGUGGGGGAUAACGUAGGGAAACUUACGCUAAUACCGCAUACGACCUACGGGUGAAAGCAGGGGAUCUUCGGACCUUGCGCGAUUGAAUGAGCCGAUGUCGGAUUAGCUAGUUGGCGGGGUAAAGGCCCACCCAGGCGACGGUCCGUAGCUUGUCUGAGAGGAUGAUCAGCCACACUGGAAGUGAGACACGGUACAGACUCCUACGGGAGGCAGCAGUGGGGAAUAUUGGACAAUGGGCGCAAGCCUGAUCCAGCCAUACCGCGUGGGUGAAGAAGGGCUUCGGGUUGUAAAGCCCUUUUGUUGGGAAAGAAAAGCAGCAGGUUAAGACCCCGCUGUUCUGACGGUACCCAAAGAAUAAGCACCGGCUAACUUCGU
This 491-nucleotide ribosomal RNA is filed under the name uncultured bacterium. RNAcentral's name for it is "partial 16S ribosomal RNA". It matches the Rfam family "Bacterial small subunit ribosomal RNA", at positions 29 to 506 of the family's 1533-position model. The record is from RNAcentral.